AUGAAUUUGGCAUUAUUGGCCAAAUGGUUUUGGAAGAUGGAAACUAAGGAGGGGUUAUGGCAGGAUAUACUCACUAGCAAGUAUCAAAAAGGGAAGUGCUUAGCCCUAAUAGCUAAGAGGCCUGGAGAUUCCCAAUUCUGGGGGAAUCUUAUGAGAAUUAAAGAGAUAUUUUACAAAUUUGUUAAGAAAGAACUAGGAGAUGGAAAAAAUACCAGGUUUUGGGAGGAUACUUGGGUAGAUGUUAAACCUCUAAAAGAAGCUUAUUCUAGAGUAUAUGAUAUAUUCUUUAACCAGAAUAUAACUGUGAAUGAGGCCAUUCAAAAAGGAUGGCAAGGGUUUAAAUUUAGAAGAACGUUACAUGGGGAAGUCCCGGGGCUUUGGAAUAGUCUUAAAAGUACAUGUGAGGAAGUGUCCAUGGGAGGUGGAAAAUACAAAAUCACAUGGACCCUUACUGCAGAUCAUAAAUUUACAGUUGGGUCAUUAUACAGGAAAUUAUCACUCUUGGUUUGA
Molecule: ribosomal RNA, 510 nt
Filed under: Triticum aestivum (bread wheat)
Lineage: Eukaryota; Viridiplantae; Streptophyta; Magnoliopsida; Poales; Poaceae
Description: partial small subunit ribosomal RNA
Source: RNAcentral